GAGCUGGGGCUGAGGGAUGGACUGAUGCUUUUAGGCUCAAACGUGGCUUUUAGACAGAUUUGUUCAUAGACCCUCUCAAGUGCCCUCUCCGAGCUGGUAGGCAUUCCAGCUCCUCCGUGCUUCCUCAGUUACACAAAGGACCUCAGCUGCUUCUCCCACUUGGCCAAGCAGGGAGGAAGAAGCUUAGACAGGGCUCUCUUUCCUUCUUGCCUUCAGAUGUUCUCUCCCAGGGGCUGGCUUCAGGAGGGAGCAUAGAAGGCAGGGAUGGCCGUUGGCCACGUCUUCCUUCUGCCUGAGCUUCCCCCCUACCACAGGCCCUUUCCUCAGGCAAGGUCUGGCCUCAGGUGGGCCGCAGGCGGGAAGAGCAGCCCUUGGCCAGAAGUCAAGCCCAGCCACGUGGAGCCUAGAGUGAGGGCCUGAGGUCUGGCUGCUUGCCCCCAUGCUGGGGCCAACAACUUCUCCAUCCUUUCUGCCUCUCAACGUCACUUGAAUCCUAGGGCCUGGGUUUUCAUGUUUUUGAAACAGAACCAUAAAGCAUAUGUGUUGGCUUG
RNAcentral lists this long non-coding RNA (551 nucleotides) under Pan troglodytes (chimpanzee). RNAcentral describes it as "long non-coding RNA NONPTRT018397". Lineage: Eukaryota; Metazoa; Chordata; Mammalia; Primates; Hominidae. The record is from RNAcentral.